Molecule: ribosomal RNA, 968 nt
Filed under: Yarranum sp. COL1079
Lineage: Eukaryota; Metazoa; Arthropoda; Insecta; Coleoptera; Tenebrionidae
Description: SSU rRNA
Rfam family: Eukaryotic small subunit ribosomal RNA
Source: RNAcentral
UUGUCUCAAAGAUUAAGCCAUGCAUGUCUCAGUACAAGCCAAAUUAAGGUGAAACCGCGAAAGGCUCAUUAAAUCAGUUAUGGUUCCUUAGAUCGUACCCACAUUUACUUGGAUAACUGUGGUAAUUCUAGAGCUAAUACAUGCAAACAGAGCUCCGACCGGAGACGGAAGGAGCGCUUUUAUUAGAUCAAAACCAAUCGGUGGCGGCUUGUCCGUCAUCGUACAACUUGGUGACUCUGAAUAACUUUACGCUGAUCGCACGGUCUUGCACCGGCGACGCAUCUUUCAAAUGUCUGCCUUAUCAACUGUCGAUGGUAGGUUCUGCGCCUACCAUGGUUGUAACGGGUAACGGGGAAUCAGGGUUCGAUUCCGGAGAGGGAGCCUGAGAAACGGCUACCACAUCCAAGGAAGGCAGCAGGCGCGCAAAUUACCCACUCCCGGCACGGGGAGGUAGUGACGAAAAAUAACGAUACGGGACUCAUCCGAGGCCCCGUAAUCGGAAUGAGUACACUCUAAACCCUUUAACGAGGAUCAAUUGGAGGGCAAGUCUGGUGCCAGCAGCCGCGGUAAUUCCAGCUCCAAUAGCGUAUAUUAAAGUUGUUGCGGUUAAAAAGCUCGUAGUCGAAUCUGUGUCCCGCGCCGCCGGUUCAUCGUUCGCGGUGUUAACUGGCGUGCCGCGGGACGUCCUGCCGGUGGGCUUAGCUCGCAAGGGCGGCCCAACUCAAUCCCGCCGCGGUGCUCUUCAUUGAGUGUCGAGGUGGGCCGGCACGUUUACUUUGAACAAAUUAGAGUGCUUAAAGCAGGCUAAAACUUUGCCUGAAUACUGUGUGCAUGGAAUAAUGGAAUAGGACCUCGGUUCUAUUUUGUUGGUUUUCGGAACCCCGAGGUAAUGAUUAAUAGGAACGGAUGGGGGCAUUCGUAUUGCGACGUUAGAGGUGAAAUUCUUGGAUCGUCCGCAAGACGGACAG